UACGUAGGGGGCAAGCGUUGUCCGGAAUCAUUGGGCGUAAAGCGCGUGUAGGCGGUCCGGUAAGUCCGCUGUGAAAGUCGGGGGCUCAACCCUCGGAUGCCGGUGGAUACUGUCGGGCUUGAGUACGGAAGAGGCGAGUGGAAUUCCUGGUGUAGCGGUGAAAUGCGCAGAUAUCAGGAGGAACACCAAUUGCGAAGGCAGCUCGCUGGGACGUUACUGACGCUGAGACGCGAAAGCGUGGGGAGCAAACGGG
Molecule: ribosomal RNA, 253 nt
Filed under: uncultured bacterium
Lineage: Bacteria
Description: partial 16S ribosomal RNA
Rfam family: Bacterial small subunit ribosomal RNA
Source: RNAcentral